RNAcentral lists this ribosomal RNA (633 nucleotides) under Pimelobacter simplex. Its description in RNAcentral is "bacterial LSU rRNA". It matches the Rfam family "Bacterial large subunit ribosomal RNA", at positions 1 to 584 of the family's 2925-position model. The record is from RNAcentral. Lineage: Bacteria; Bacillati; Actinomycetota; Actinomycetes; Propionibacteriales; Nocardioidaceae.
GUGGGCAAGUUGUUAAGGGCACAUGGUGGAUGCCUUGGCAUCGAGAGCCGAUGAAGGACGUGGGAGCCUGCGAUAUGCCCUGGGGAGUUGGCAACCGAGCGUUGAUCCGGGGAUGUCCGAAUGGGGAAACCCAGCACGAGUUAUGUCGUGUUACCUGCACCUGAAUGAAAUAGGGUGUGUGGAGGGAACAAGGGGAAGUGAAACAUCUCAGUACCCUUAGGAAGAGAAAACAACCGUGAUUCCGAGAGUAGUGGCGAGCGAAAUCGGAUGAGGCUAAACCUACUUCAUGUGAUAGCCGGCAGGCGUUGUGGAGUGGGGGUUGUGGGAGUGUUGUUGUUGCCUCUGCCGGGGUGGCGCACAGUAAGAAACCAGACACGAGGUCGAAGUCCGUUGGAAAGCGGUGCCGUAGCGGGUGAUAGCCCCGUAGACGAUAGGGUCUGGCUGUGUUCAGCAUUUCCCAAGUAACACGCUACUCCUGGAAUGGUGUGUGAAUCUGGCGGGACCACCCGUUAAGCCUAAAUACUCCUCGAUGACCGAUAGCGGACCAGUACCGUGAGGGAAAGGUGAAAAGUACCCCUGGCGGGGAGUGAAAUAGUACCUGAAACCAUGUGCCUACAAUCCGUCAGAGCCUGU